GUGGGGAAUAUUGGGCAAUGGGGGAAACCCUGACCCAGCAACGCCGCGUGAAGGAAGAAGGCUUUCGGGUUGUAAACUUCUUUGACGAGGGAAGAUAAUGACUGUACUUCGAAAACAAGCCACGGCUAACUACGUGCCAGCAGCCGCGGUAAUACGUAGGUGGCAAGCGUUGUCCGGAUUUCCUGGGUGUAAAGGGCGCGUAGGCGGGAUGGAAAGUCAGAUGUGAAAUACCGAGUCUCAACCUCGGGGCUGCAUUGGAAACUGCUGUUCGUGAUGGAUGGAGAGGCAGGCGGAAUUCCGAUUGUAGCGGUGAAAUGCGUAGAUAUUAGGAGGAACACCAGUGGCGAAGGCGGCCUGCUGGACAUUAACUGACGCUGAGGCGCGAAAGCGUGGGGAGCAAACAGGAUUAGAAACCCCUGUAGUCC
Molecule: ribosomal RNA, 425 nt
Filed under: uncultured bacterium
Lineage: Bacteria
Description: partial 16S ribosomal RNA
Rfam family: Bacterial small subunit ribosomal RNA
Source: RNAcentral